GAAUGGAAUGUGCUGAGUAUUUCCUGAUCUGCUUAUUCUGGAGUCACUGCUAUAAAAUCAUACCACAUUUCUGCAGCAAGAGUGCUACAGUGUUGCCAGUUAUCCUGAUUUUAUCUUUGAUCUUUCAAUAUUUGGUAUUUUUCCUAGGGCCCCAGCUCCUGGAGUCAUCUGAAUAUAUGAGAAUUUCAGGUUUCAUUUGAAAAAAAAAGAGAGACUUAACAACAGAGCACCUUGGGGAAAAAGAUUUAUGAAUCUGCAUAAUUUCUUAGCACUGCACCCACUCUCCAAUGAAGAGAAUGGUAAUGGUCUCAGGGAACAGUAACAAUGAGAGCAGAAGCAGCAAGAGUUGUGUCCCACCCAAAUCAGUAAAGACUACCAUUGAUGGAAUAUUUAACUCUAUAUGUGCAGCAAAUGGAAUGAUACUCUGAAGAUGCAGUUAACCUGUUGCUCUGUGUGAUUGAAUGCUUUUCCAGUUAAGAAGUUAUUGUGAACAUUAAAGGGGAAAAGAAGAAAAAAGAUUAUUGUGGCUCGCUUUAUUAAAAUGUGCUGUUCUGUA
Caretta caretta (loggerhead turtle) is the source of this 556-nucleotide long non-coding RNA. RefSeq lists it as uncharacterized. NCBI's taxonomy places the organism in Eukaryota, Metazoa, Chordata, Testudines, Cheloniidae. The record is from RefSeq and is a predicted model, not a curated record.